RNAcentral lists this unclassified non-coding RNA (404 nucleotides) under soil metagenome. RNAcentral's name for it is "partial contains 5.8S ribosomal RNA, internal transcribed spacer 2, and large subunit ribosomal RNA". The stretch from base 1 to 122 matches the Rfam family "5.8S ribosomal RNA", at positions 35 to 154 of the family's 154-position model. The record is from RNAcentral.
GAUGAAGAACGCAGCGAAAUGCGAUACUUGGUGUGAAUUGCAGAAUCCCGUGAACCAUCGAGUCUUUGAACGCAAGUUGCGCCUCAAGCCAUUAGGUUGAGGGCACGUCUGCCUGGGCGUCACGCAUCGCGUCGCCCCCCACAAUUCUCCGUAAAGGGAACGUGUGUUUUGGGGGCGGAUAUUGGUCUCCCGUGCUCAUGGCGUGGUUGGCCGAAAUAGGAGUCCUUUCGAUGGACGCACGAACUAGUGGUGGUCGUAAAAACCCUCGUCUUUUGUUUCGUGCUGUUGCUCGCAAGGUAAACUCUUUAAAAACCCCAAUGUGUCGUCUCUUGACGACGCUUCGACCGCGACCCCAGGUCAGGCGGGACUACCCGCUGAGUUUAAGCAUAUCAAUAAGCGGAGGA